RNAcentral lists this ribosomal RNA (467 nucleotides) under uncultured bacterium. RNAcentral's name for it is "partial 16S ribosomal RNA". It matches the Rfam family "Bacterial small subunit ribosomal RNA", at positions 28 to 506 of the family's 1533-position model. The record is from RNAcentral.
GACGAACGCUGGCGGCGUGCUUAACACAUGCAAGUCGAACGGAAAGGCCCUGCUUUUGUGGGGUGCUCGAGUGGCGAACGGGUGAGUAACACGUGAGUAACCUGCCCUUGACUUUGGGAUAACUUCGGGAAACUGGGGCUAAUACCGGAUAGGAGCUCCUGCUGCAUGGUGGGGGUUGGAAAGUUUCGGCGGUUGGGGAUGGACUCGCGGCUUAUCAGCUUGUUGGUGGGGUAGUGGCUUACCAAGGCUUUGACGGGUAGCCGGCCUGAGAGGGUGACCGGCCACAUUGGGACUGAGAUACGGCCCAGACUCCUACGGGAGGCAGCAGUGGGGAAUAUUGCGCAAUGGGCGGAAGCCUGAUGCAGCAACGCCGCGUGCGGGAUGACGGCCUUCGGGUUGUAAACCGCUUUCGCCUGUGACGAAGCGUGAGUGACGGUAAUGGGUAAAGAAGCACCGGCUAACUACGU